AGUAGCCGCGACCCCCUGCCGCCAGCGUGACACACAAGUCUUUAAAAGGCUCUCUGCUCAGGGGAGAGAACUUUCUGACUCCAAGUUCACUGACGUAAGGAGAUUUAAUUUUAAUUUUAUUUUGUAAUCUAGGUAGAUAACUGGGCUACUUCAUGAUAACUGGGCUACUUCGGACUGAAUAAAAGCAGAGAGGUCAGAAAAUAUUCUUCCAAAGCGUUCAAGCUGUGGGCACACACAAUUAUUUACAUUAAAUUUCCACCUGCUAGGAGAGAUACAGGUGGAAGAUGUUCUGAAACCCACUAUAGUAAAGUAUUUCUUCACCAGCCAAAGCCAGUUCUCAGGGAAUUAAACACACACACACCUCAAAACAGCGACUGCCCCCCACCACCCCCGGCCCCUUAAGGAAAAGAAAGAAAAAAAGAAACCACUGACUGGCUCCCAAUGAAGAAAUUUUACCCCAAACAGGGACGGCCGUUAACACUUCAGCGCUGAUAAGGCCAGGUCAUUCGGUCCUCAGUAAUUGGUUGCUUUCUGAAAUGUUGCAGCUUCUUCCUCUGUCUAGAUGGGUCUGAAUGAUAAAACAGCAUUUGCGCACAAAAAAGGUUAUACAAUAAACAUCUAUAGCUUUUUGAAAAGGAGCCAGCGAAGACAAAUGUGCUUUUUCCCACAGGUCAAGCCUCCUGAUUUUGGCACUUGCGUUAAUGGAAACUUUAAUUCUUGGAAGUUCCACGUAUUUUCCAAGACUCGAGCCGAAAGUGUAUGGAGCAUAAACAAUGUAUUCAUUUAAUUAGCCAAAGACCUAAAAUUAGUCUUUAAUGAAGGCAAAUUAAGAACUUUUUUUUUCUCCUUGUGGUUAGAUCUCCUUAACCCCUGUAAGCCCAGGAUCCUAGUUUGUUAGUGGUAGUCCUCCUUUCUACUGUCAUUAAUUUUUGCAGUAAUUUAUGUAGUAUAAUAGUUUUACAAGUCUAUGAAGAAUCAGUUUGUAUAGUCAAUUCCCGCCAUUGUUCUAUUUUACCUUUGACUUUGUACACAUUAUUAUUCAUUAUUUUAGCCUGGGGAACAUUUACUGAACACCUUUGUAAGCUUUUUUUAGGUUUAUGUGUCUAGAGAUAUAUAAAUAUAUGUCAUAGUUGUUGCUUUUAAGAGGCAGACAGUUGUAGUAAGAGAGAUAUUCUCUAAUACAAGCAGGGAUGUGAUUAGAAUAGGAAAGGAAAUUUUAAAAUGUCAUGGGAAUUCAAAUGAGAGAUAUUUAAGAGUAGGAGACUAAGGAAAAAUCCAUGGAUUAUUUGGCAUCUGAUCUAGGCUUUGUAAGCCUAGAUAUAUUUAGGGUAUACAGAAAAGCAGAGAAAAGACAGCCCACGUCAGCAUUGAUGAAGCCAAGUUGGCUACACAGCAGGAUUGGACACUUGAGUUCAGUGCUCCCUGGGCAGGCGCUGUUACCACCUACUCUCAAUACUUAAUGAGAUUUUCAUGUACUCGUCACACCCAUUCCCACCACUCCUGUACCCCCUCCCUUAAACUGGGGACUGCUAGAGGGCAAGGCUGUGACUUGUUCAUCUUUGUAGCAAGGCCCUAGCACCAUUUAAAUUAUAAAUGGGCUCAAAAAAUAUUUUUGAAUCAAUGAAUGAAAAAUACAAAGUUGAAAAAGCAUAUUGGGGCCUUAAAAAAUGCAUAGACAGCCUUAAAUGCUCAACAAAAGAAGCUGAGGAGUCCUCAGUAUGUAGUGGUAAGCCAUGGAAAGAUUUUGAUCAGAAAACUACACAAUAAGAGCCUGUUUUAAGAGGAUUGAUCCAGAAGCAGAGAAUAUAAUGGCUUUAAGGGUUGCAUUUCUUGAGUAUAGUCCCUCUGGGCUCCAAAAUUCUGUAACUGGCAGAAGAGGGUGCUGGAAACUGUUACAUUAAUUAGAGAAGGAAUGAGGUCUUGGGCUAAUAGGUAACAUCAGUGGGCACUAUACAAAUACAUACAAAAGGAAUGUUAUACAGAGUCAAUAUUGGAAAAGGGAAAAGUCAGAGGUGACUGUGAUGUUUAUCAUAGUAACAGAAAAAUAAUAAGAAAAUUGGAAUGAGAAGAGCUGAAGUACUGUGGAGAAUUUAUGAGAAGAUUUGCAACAAAAAAAUCCAUAUCUGAAUUCUCUGAAAAUUCUGUUCUUUUGGUAUAAUACAUAUUUCAGACUCUUUUUUUUCAUUGAGAUGUAUUCUUCCAAAUACGCAAUUUUAAAUCGUUUCAACUUGCUUUCAUAACAGAAUGUCAUAUUUUUAUUAGUCAGUAAUUUAACUUGAUUGAUUCAAAAUCAGGGCACAUAAUAAAGAUCAAAUUUGAAGAAAUUAAUAAGUAAAUGUUUGACAAUAGUAGGCCUAAGAACAAAUAGUAAUCAUUUUAAAUGGUAAAGAAUGUGUGCUAUAAGAAUAUUACAGAUAUAUAUUUUUCUUUGUAUUCCCUUUCUACAUUGUUUCCUUAAGCAGUGUAUGUCUUUGUCCUUCAACUAGUUUUUCUGCACUAAGUGGAAGCUGCAUGAGAGCACAUUGUUUAAUAUCACCACACACCCAGGGUCUCAAAUUGUUCCGAGAUCCCAAGAGUAGGUACUCAAUAAAUACUUGUCAAAUGAAAAGAAGUAGGAAUAGUGUUCAAAACAUGGUAUUUCUCUCUCUUGCAUUUUCUCUCUCAUCUCUCUCUACCCUUCAUGGUUUUGCAACUAUUUCUCAGAACCCACAUAGGAAAUGUGAACUUUUGGAAUUCACUUUGAAGUCUGUUUCUAUAGCUGUCUACAAAAAUUUUCUUAUUCUCACUUUUCUCUUUACUAUAUUGCUCUACCUUUAAAUCAAGCUUGUCCAACACGUGGCCCGCGAGCUGCAUGCAACCCAGGAGAGCUUUGAAUGCUGCCCAACACAAAUUCGUAAACUUUCUUAAAAUUAUGAGAUUUUUUUGUGAUUUUUAGCUUAUCAGCUAUCGUUAGUGUUAUUGUACAUUAUGUGUGACCCAAGACAAUUCUUCUUCCAAUAUGGCCCAGGGAAGCCAAAAGAUUGGACACUCCUGCAAAAUUAUCCAUUUCUCCCUUCUUUAGCAACUUCCCUAACUUCCCUAAUUGCUCUAAGUCAGCAAUACUUAAACUUGUCUGGCAUUUGCUAGCUAAGUUUCUCUUUACAACUUGAUUUUAAGCUUAACUGACAUAUACCUCUAUCCCCCAAAAGUCUUUCUGGACACAUAGUAACUGCUCAAUAAAUAUUUAUUAUUGACUGACCUCUAGCUCUCCCUCAUAUUAUGGUCCAAACAGUGAACAUUUAAAUUUGCCUCUGGCUGAGAAAUUGGCAAAAAAAAAUCAAUUAAUUUUCAAGAGCACAUUUACUACUUAGGGCUUAUUUUAUUCAUCUGCUUAUUCAAUCACUAUAUGCUGUUGUCCACUAAAAGUUAGGUAUAUUUUCUUAACUGUUCAAUAAUUUUCUUAAUUGUUCUUUCAGGAGUGAAGACUAAUUUGCACACUACCAGAGGAUAUCAGUAAUAAGUUUAGAACACAGCUAAUUUUAUUUACUAUUAUAAUUUUCUUGAGUAUGCAGGAAUCCUGUUAGAAUUUACUCAUGUUGCAGAAAUUUAUGCAAUUAAAAAGCAAUUAAAAGAUUUUGGUUCAGUUGUAAGUCAGCAUCUGCCAGGUUCCUUUUAGACCCUAUGAGCAUUUUUCUUUGGGUUUCUGACAUUCUCAUUCUCUUAAGAAACAAAGCUUGUCAAGUGCCUUUAGACAAGUAGAGAAAAUAUUAGGUUGAUGCUUUUCCUAAUUGUCUGCUGCUUUGAUUACCAAAUGCAAAUCAGUGAAGUUUCUGAAAGUACCCUUGAGAGCAAGGGUGAAAUUCUUCCAGUUGUUGACUUUGCCUUUGACAUGACUUGUAGACUUCAAACUCUUGGAUUUCCUGAGCCAUAUUAGACUUAAAAAUUUGGAGGGUCUUCAAAAUGGCAAUGGAAACGAGUCAUGUUAGCUGAACAAAUAAUGGUUGGUCUAUUUGCUUAGUAUGCUGCUUUACUAGUGUCCUCGUAUAAACCACUUUGGAACAUAUUGCUUUGGAAUCAACUUAAUAAAAUUGUUACAUAAACUAGUAAUCAAAACAGCAUGUUAUAAACUUACUUUUUUGGAGUUAUCAUGGAAUGGGAAUGACAGUAUAACUCUUCUCAGUUAUUUGUUCCAGUGAAUUCGGAGAACAUUUCUUUUUGAGAUAUGUAUCUAUUUAUGUGCAGAAAAGCAUCACUCUGUUUUAAAUAAGGUCACCCCAUUUCUUCUUUGCAAGCUCAGCUCCUCAUACUUUAGCAAGCUCACAGGUGUGAAUCAGAAAGGUCAGGAAAGGAGGCACUCACAACAAUAACUACCCUUUGAUUUGCAUCUAGGUGAGCAAAACAACAUCCCUGCUCCAAGGCAUUCUUGGGGAGAAAGCUGUUAGCAAACAAGUAAUACAUUACAUAAUUAUUAAUAGUGGUAAAAUAUAUAAAGAAAAUAAAUUGAGAUAAGGAUCAAAAGUAACUAGGGCCAGAGAUGACAGUUUUAGAUAGGGUUCAAAAAAGACCUCUUUAAAACAGUGACAUUUGAAUAAAGAAUCAACUGUAUGAUCAACUUGGGAAAGAGUGCUUCAGGCAGCCCAAGAGCAAGUGUAAAAGCUUUGAGGCAGGAAAUAGUUUGAUGUGCUUGAAGAACAAUAAGAAAAUCAGUAUAGCAGAUGGAUAAGAGGAAAGGCAGAAGAAGAGCUGGGAAAACUGGGAAGUGCCUUCACUGUUCUCUCCAUUUACCCAAUGAAUAAGGAUUGGGAGUCUGCCAGGUAACUAGGUUAUGAAAAUCACUGACCCUAAUCCUUGAGACAGUUGCAUGAAAAUUAGGUUAUUUUUCUCAUUUUGCACACGAAUUGAUUAGAAUUUAGCAAAAUGACUUUCCAAAGUCACUUACCAAGCAAGUAGAAAGCUAUGACAGACUCAGAACAUCUGAUUCCAAAUCCUGUGCUUUUCUUACUAGACAAUAUCUCAAGGAGAUGAUUGUCCAACUAUGGUCCAGCUGCACGAGAAACACCUGGUAAUAUGAUUUCAUGCCCCACCAGACUUCUAUUGAGCAAGGAUAGAAUAAGAAGUAUGAUCUUUGGCCCAGAAAUUAAAAUAUCUUUAAUGAAAAGGUAUAAACACUUCUAAUAAAAUAAAGCACAUUUAAAAGUUAUCCUGGAGAUUCUCUUGCCCAGCCAGGUAUUAGAACCUCAUAGAAUUAUUUUUAGGGCAAGAUGAGAUAAUAUAAGAUGCUUAGGAUAGUUCCUGGCCUGUGAUAAGUACUUAAUAAAUAUCAACUCAUUAAUAUCUUAGGGCUGGUUUUAGUUUGGUGAUGGUCAAGAAGGUCUCAGAGCAGGCUGUGGGGGUAGGAAGGAAAAGCUACAGCUCACAGAUUUAUUUUAUCAUUUUAUAGACCUGAAUAUUUUUGAGAUCUUACCAACCCUCAGAGUGCUAUUAUAACUAACCAAUACUUGUACUACCGUCUCCUCAACUCUUGAACUUAAUUAAGACACUGGGGACUAAAAAGGAGCCAACCAAGAUACUGGUAAUAAAAUAAGGACUCAGAAAUCAACACAUGUGUUUUACUGUAAUAGUGUUUCCAAGAGAAAAGUAGUUCCUUCCAUCAAAGAAAGAGUACCCAUGCUGAUUAUGUUCUACUGGUAGGCUACAAAAUACUAAUUAUAAAUAAAGCUAGUAGGCCCUCUCCCAAGAGAAGAUGAGAAAUAGUGGCUGUCACUGUUGAUUUUUUUCAGGGCCUGAAAUUAUGCUUUCAUGUUCUCAUGCCAAAGAAAGGUAAGUUCGCGUGAGCCUGGGAUCUGUCCUGCCAUAGGAAUUCUUCACAGGAACUCUUCACAGGAUUUCUGAAACUCAGGGAAAAAGCAAUUCCCAAGGAUCACCUGAUCCAUUGCUAUGCUUUCAUGUCAUUAUGUUUUGCCAAAAUUAGUGACUCACGCAAUGCUUGGAAAGAGAAACCUGACAUUUUCCAGAACUCUCUGUAGAGCAGGUCCUUAUUGCCACCUUUCAAAACUGUCAGCUAUAGAAAGGAUUAUAGAGGUUGAAAGUUUUAAAGUGAUAUUUAGACUUGUUGGGCCCAAUGAAGCCAGGAUAUUUUUUCUGCUGUUAAAUGAUUUUUUUUUAAGGUAAAAAUGUUCUGUGCCAGAAAAACUUUCACCAGGUCAUUUUUUCUAAACAAGUUCACACUGGAAUUACAUGUUUGAGAGUUGUGUCUAAUUUAAAAUGUCAAAUUACCUCAUUUUUUGUUAGAAUUGAUGGGAUAAUAAAAUGAUCUCCUCUUGAAAUUUAUUAUGGAUUUGAAAGUCAAUCUUUCUUUAAAAAAUUGAGAAAUUAUGGGAGAUGCAUGAGCUAUAGUAUAACCUUCCAUUUAAGUUCACAGAGGUUUACAGUCAGAAAGACGAGAUCAGGUGCCAGUUCUGCCAUUUACUUGGUUGAUGACUUUGAAUAACAUACUUAACGACUCUGAGCCUCAAUCUCCUCUUCUGCGAAAUGGACUAACAUCUACCUCUCAGAGUUGUAUAGAUUAAAUGAGUUGAGUAUGUAAAGGAUUUAGCACAGGCCCAGGACACCUAAAACUACAUAUAUAUAUAUAUUUUUUGUUGUUAUUGUUGUUGUUGUUUUCUGAGAUGGAGUCUUGCUCUGUCGCCCAGGCUGGAGUGCAGUGGCGCGAUCUCAACUCACUGCAACCUCUGCCUCCCAGGUUCAAGCAAUUCUCCUGCCUCAGCCUCCCAAGUAGCUGGAAUUAUAGGCACCUGCCACCAAGUCUGGCUAAUUUCUGUAUUUUUUUUUAGUAGAGACGGGGUUUCACCAUGUUGGCCAGGCUGAUCCGCCUGCCUUGUCCUCCUAAAGUGCUGGGAUUACAGGCAUGAGCCACCUCGCCUGGCCCUAAAACAAUAUUUUUAAAAAUAAUUAUAACUUGGAUACAGCAUCCUUAAUAAUUAGGAUGUAAUUCAUUAUUUAUUAUUUUAUUUUUUCUUAGCCUGAAUUUGUUAGUAUUGUUAGAUUAUUGAUAAACAAAAAUGGUGAUAACAGGCAUGCUUUCUCUUCUUAGUGAUUUUAAUAAAAUGCUUCCA
RNAcentral lists this long non-coding RNA (7094 nucleotides) under Homo sapiens (human). Its description in RNAcentral is "non-protein coding lnc-SPX-4:2". Lineage: Eukaryota; Metazoa; Chordata; Mammalia; Primates; Hominidae. The record is from RNAcentral.